RNAcentral lists this long non-coding RNA (2665 nucleotides) under Mytilus galloprovincialis (Mediterranean mussel). Lineage: Eukaryota; Metazoa; Mollusca; Bivalvia; Mytilida; Mytilidae. The record is from RNAcentral.
CCCACUCAUCUAAAAUUAAAAAAAGGAAGGAAUAAAAAAUUACAUCAUUAACAAAUAUACAUGUUUUAUAAAAUGGUAAAUUGUCAACAUAUUGUCCGUGUGACCUAAACCGCGAUAUCAUAUUGGCUAUUGGGACAUUAUAAAACUGCAUACAAGAAUUGAGUCAGAACAGUUUAAUAUCGAAAAAUAUUCACAGCAAAGCUAUUAGGAUAUGGUAUAUAUAAGACAUCAUACAGAUAAAACAUAGCCCAAUUACACUGUGUGCAAACUAUUGGCACAUAUUUUGGAUAGGAGAAAGAAGAGUAUUAUUCUCAUGCGACGAAUUGGUAAGUAGGGAUACAUUCAUCACAUGUAAAAUAUGGGCAUUUUGAGAAUCAGAAUAUCUAUUCAAGAAAAAAACAUAUCCCCUUUGAAGUUAAUUGGUCGUUCCUUUAUGCAAGACACGCGUUUUGCCGACAAAAGGCUUAUUAGUGGAGCUCGAAUCACAACAGUUGGAAGAUCAAAUCAAAACGAAGUCGAAGACCGUUGCACAUUGUUAGAAACUGUUCUAAAUAUGUCAUUAUAACUAGAGAUUGUUCGUAUCUUCAAUAACCCUAUGUUAAUCUUAUACUGAUAUCAUCCAACCAAGUUACCAAACGCCAUGACUACAAUAAAUUUGGCUCGUUUAAUUUUCUUAAACUUUGACAAAAUAUUUACGUUGACCCUUUGUCAAAAAUAUAAAAAAAGAAACUUAAUAUUUCCUUCGCAAUAGGACUUGUUUAAAGCGGUACGCUGAUUUGUACAGAGUUAUUCCCCUGUGAUGUUUUUUACCACCUGAAUACGGAUUUCCAAAUAGACAUCAUGUUGUAAAGAAAUACGUUUUUAACUCUCCGUUUUAUUUUUAAUCAUAAGACUUUAAAUAUCGCUUGGUGACACCACAGAUUGAUAACAAAAAAAUUAAAAAAAUGUACAUAUUAAUUUGACAUUUGAAAAGAUUAUAUAUAUGUUAUUAACCUGCAGAAUUAAUAUUAAUUUUUCGACUACGUAGGGUAGAGAAUGACGUGAGAUUGCUGUGAGCCAAUCAAAAUAACGUAUUUUAAUGAUACAUACAUGGCAUGUUAUUAUUAUUAGCUAAUGAAGAACUGAGAUCAAACAAAUACCACAUACAUAUACGCCAUAAUAUGUCCCCAAAAUCCAAAGGUUUGCAUGCCACAAUAAGUUAUGGUAAAAUUUAAGAAGAUCAAAACCUCUUUUUGGACACUGUCAAUUGUACUAUUAUUUAAAUUACUUUUUAUUAAUAUUGUAGAGUGGGCUGCUGAAACAACUCGAGAUAGGAAGGAAGUUCUUUUGAGAUAUGAUCGUGUUUAACUGUGAUUUCUUUAUACUGCAUGUAUACCACGCACAUAACUUAAAGAAAUUUGCAAUUUUGAAUUGAUAUUGGUAUCUACUCGUACUCGUAUUCUAAUCAAACAAAAAGGAGUAACUUUUUGUGUAUAACAGUCCUGUUCCUUUUAAUAUAUAAUUGCAAAAAUGGGAGGAAACUAUACAAAUGUUGAAAUGUCGCUUAACGACUUCAAUGAUGAAGAAACAGCAAAACGAACAUCUGCAAUCGUUUAUUUAUCAGUUGUGAUGGCCUUUGGUAUUCCAGGAAACUUACUAGUGAUUAUUGUGUACUUUGGUUCACACGGGCGACGAGAAGGGACACAUUGGAUGUACAUUCGGGCUUUAGCGGUUACCGACUUACUGGUGUGUUUGGUUGCAAUACCGUUUGAAUUGUUCCAACAAACGCACCAGUUAACAUUUUAUUCUGCAGCAGGAUGUAGUAUCUUCAGAUCAGUAAGCGUACAUUUAUCCUUGACAUCAUCCCUUCUUUUAAUUCCGAUGUCAGGAAAUCGUCUUAGACGGGUAUGUCAACCUCUAAAAUCACAACUAACUAUGAAUCAAGGUUAUAUAACGAUUGCAAUCGUAGUUGGAAUUGCCUUGUUAUUUUGUUGGCCGGAGGGAGCGUUGAGUGGAAUAAGCUUGGAAAAAUUAGAUAACAAUUUAACAGGGUAUGAUUGCAGCUUUUCUGACAGAUUUCGCGGUACAAAUUACACAACGAUAUACAGUACUGUCCUGUUAACAGUUUAUAUUUCUAGUAUGCUUGCACUUGUUAUUAUGUAUUCAAUAGUUGGACGAAAAGUGCUCGAACGAACCAAAUUUCAACAAUCUUUUCGAAGAAAAUAUUCCGUAUCACCGUCGUCUGUUGCCACAGAGACAACCGCAAGUGAAAACCUUACCACCGACACAAUGGAUGAAAAAAGCGAAUGUGAAGAUGAGAAAAAUGCUAUAGACAUAAAUAAAAAUCCAGGAAUAAAUAAAAAUUACAACAAUAAGCAACAUAAAGCAAAGCGUAAGACAGUGUCGGAAAAAAACCCAUCGAAAAAGAUUACGCGGAUUGCAUUUGUCAUUAGCUUCUGCUUUAUACUGAGUUACUUGCCGUACGUAGCAGUAAAACUUAAUGCAUCUGUCAUAAAAGGUCGGUUUGUAAGAACACCCCUUACAAAAGCCAUAUUUCCUAUCCUAGCGAGAACAUUCAUCAUUAAUAAUAUCGUAAAUCCUGUCAUAUACGGAUUUCUCGAUCCGACGUUUUUACAGAAUUGCAAAAUGACAAUAAAACAAAUCAUAUGCAUGAAAUCUCAAAACU